AUUGAACGCUGGCGGCAGGCCUAACACAUGCAAGUCGAACGAGAGGCGGGAGGGAGAGCAAUGUCUGGGCAACGGCCUGGUGGAGGGGGAUAACUACUGGAAACGGUAGCUAAUACCGCAUACAAGCGGAUGGGCCCAGAUGGGAUUAGCUAGUGGGUGGGGUAAAGGCUGACCUAGGCGACGAUCCCUAGCUGGUCUGAGAGGAUGACCAGCCACACUGGAACUGAGACACGGUCCAGACUCCUACGGGAGGCAGCAGUGGGGAAUAUUGCACAAUGGGCGAAAGCCUGAUGCAGCCAUGCCGCGUGUAUGAAGAAGGCCUUCGGGUUGUAAAGUACUUUCAGUGGGGAGGCGUUACCCGCAGAAGAAGCACCGGCUAACUCCGUGCCAGCCGCCGCGGUAAUUC
Molecule: ribosomal RNA, 406 nt
Filed under: uncultured bacterium
Lineage: Bacteria
Description: partial 16S ribosomal RNA
Rfam family: Bacterial small subunit ribosomal RNA
Source: RNAcentral